RNAcentral lists this ribosomal RNA (399 nucleotides) under Acanthamoeba sp. Its description in RNAcentral is "SSU rRNA". It matches the Rfam family "Eukaryotic small subunit ribosomal RNA", at positions 762 to 1081 of the family's 1831-position model. The record is from RNAcentral. Lineage: Eukaryota; Discosea; Longamoebia; Acanthamoebidae.
AAAAUUAGAGUGUUCAAAGCAGGCAGAUCCAAUUUUCUGCCACCGAAUACAUUAGCAUGGGAUAAUGGAAUAGGACCCUGUCCUCCUAUUUUCAGUUGGUUUUGGCAGCGCGAGGACUAGGGUAAUGAUUAAUAGGGAUAGUUGGGGGCAUUAAUAUUUAAUUGUCAGAGGUGAAAUUCUUGGAUUUAUGAAAGAUUAACUUCUGCGAAAGCAUCUGCCAAGGAUGUUUUCAUUAAUCAAGAACGAAAGUUAGGGGAUCGAAGACGAUCAGAUACCGUCGUAGUCUUAACCAUAAACGAUGCCGACCAGCGAUUAGGAGACGUUGAAUACAAAACACCACCAUCGGUGCGGUCGUCCUUGGCGUUGGUCUUCAAAAGCCAGCGCGGGGGUGGCUAGCCC